CAAACAAUGCACACCCAAACUUAUGGAAGGCGUUCCAAUGGUUUCUUUUCAAGUUUAUAAUGUGCAACGAAAACAAGUGUAAAUAAAACUGGAAAAAUGAAAAAAAUCGUAAGCGACAUAAAAUAUAUAUUUUUAAAAUGUUAACUAACGACAUAUAUGUUAGCAAAACGAACUAUAAUUAUCGAAAAAUGUCCUUUUCGUCUCCGUCGAUUAAUUUAAUACAUGAGCUUUUGGCGUUGAUUUAAAGGAGGGGGGAAAAAAAGUAUAAUUACAAUGAUACAGAACGGAUAUGGAAGGGAAAGUCGAACAGUUCUGUGGGAUUUAUUCAUUUUGUCACCUAGAAAGACAUAAUUGUGCAGCACCAACGUAUCAACUGCUCGCCAGACCAAGCACAAGUUUUGCCGUGAGCUAAUUUUUACGUCUAUCUCUGUUUUUUUUUUUUUUUUUUUUUUUUCUUGCUAUGAUUAAUUAAUGGAAAAUGCUAAGAUGGCUACCAACUAGCCAACGCCUUCACGGAACCAACAUGUCGGUUCGUCGUUUUGUGGGGGAAACUCAGAGAGACGGACAGGUGCCAAAAGUCAAAAUGCCGCCGUUUACCGCCACGAAAUGCAAAUGUGAACGUACUCAAAGUGUUUCUCAGCAAGCGAAUGAACCACUUCGACAAAAUGAAGAAGUCUUAAGCAAUCGCUGGAAAACCUGAAAAGCUUUGUCACUAACAUCAUGGGUUGAACAAGAAAACCGACUGAAUGCACUUUCACUGGAAAUGCACGAGACGCACAAUCUUCACCGACUCCUCCUCCAGCUCAUCAUCGUAGUCGUCGGGCAGCGGCGGCAGAACCGGAUCGAAACUCUUCUGGGCCACCGUGUCGUGGACGGAAAGGAGAGCCUGGCCGGACACGGGCAGCACAGCGACUUCAGGCCUCAAACACCCCCAUCCAGAUGAGGACUCAAGACAGCGUGGAGGUGAAGGCUGCUGGGAAAUGUCUGCUAAUUGGAUACACUUGAGCGACCACUGCAGAGCUGCUUCAGUUCUCGCUUUCUUCAAAAAGACCUGUUUGGGAGAAUCUACAAGUUAACUGGAAACUGGUCUUCAUUCCAUCCGGGUUGAGAUCGUACGAACCCGACUGAAACGACAGUGAGCGAGUGAGUCGGCGUAUUUCAACGUCUCACGCGCACAUACACAGCAGAAGAAGAAGAACAACGCUACGCGACUAAGCAAGCUCACGAGCCACCACCACCAGCCCUUGAGAUCCCGUCACCAAGACCAUCAAGAGGGAUGAAACCUUACCUUUUUCCAUCCUUUCUGCUUCGGAAGAAAGCCCUAAAGCGACACAUCGGGAGUCAGGCAAAGCGAGGGAGAGUGAGCGGGAAACUAGCGACUAGCUCCGAGCAGUACGUGCUACUACGAGUGCGACCAAAUAACGUUUGUCGUAAAGCUCACCACGCCGUUGCCGUGAUACGGUUUGUCCUCCAUCUCCAUGGCGGACGCCGCGUCGCAGGCGGCUGUGGCGUUGGCGCGUGGAAUUGGCGUGAUGCUGACCGGCCAGGCCUUGCUCAGCUCACCCGCCGGGUACGGGCUGGCGUCGAUGUGCUCUGCCUGCUCGUCAGAGCAUCUCCGCCUGUUUGACCGUCGAAAUGAGACGCUCAGCCGGCUUGAGAGGAGGCUGCCGUUGGAAAAACGGAAAAUGGAAAACAGUAAGGUGCGACUUCCACGUUUUGGAUUUUAGAACAAUGCAGCCGUUAUCAUCGUCACCGUGCCACCGCAGUCGAUGAGCAAUCGGGAAUUUAUCGAAUCGAAGUGAUGUUGGAGGAAGUCAUAAAGCUCAGGAUGAAAUACCAGUGAUAUGAAGUUGGGUUGUACGAGCUGAACGCACGGAGGUAGCAACGAUGGGAGGCAGGGUGCGGCUUUGGAGGCCAGCGGGAACGCCGCCGCGGCGCCGUUCUUGGCGGGUGGCGCCUCCUUGUGGCUUCUGAGGUCCGCCGGGCUGAUCUGGUAGGAUGCCGACGACGGAGGCGGCGAC
Syngnathoides biaculeatus (alligator pipefish) is the source of this 2021-nucleotide long non-coding RNA. RefSeq lists it as uncharacterized. The transcript is spliced from 11 exons. The record is from RefSeq and is a predicted model, not a curated record. Lineage: Eukaryota; Metazoa; Chordata; Actinopteri; Syngnathiformes; Syngnathidae.